Molecule: long non-coding RNA, 3029 nt
Filed under: Salmo salar (Atlantic salmon)
Lineage: Eukaryota; Metazoa; Chordata; Actinopteri; Salmoniformes; Salmonidae
Description: lncRNA (ENSSSAG00000092828.1)
Source: RNAcentral
GCGGCGGUCCCAUGGCAAAACUAAGACCGUUGCCGAAUCAAAGACUGUUCUGCCGAGUUCUUUGAGGAAGGAAAGAGAGCUUUACAGAUGCUCCUCACCCCUUGGCUGAAACCCUUCUAAUUUAGUGUACCCUACGUGCACAACACAUGUGGAAUUCCUGGUCUCUGGCAGCGUUUGGAACUGCCGAUUGGUUCAUCUCAGCCUAUGCUGCCCUUCAGUCCCAUCACUUUUUGGCCCUGACGGGGACAUGGCUCACCCCAGAGAACACUGCUGCUCUCUCCUCAUCUGACUACGUUUUCUCUCAUAGAGCAAGAGCAUCUAGUUGUCGCGGUAGUGGCACAGGGCUACUAAUUUUUCCUAACUGGAGAUUUUCUCUUUUCUCCCUCUCUCACCUGUCCAUCUCCUCAUUUGAAUUCUGUGCUGUCACUGUCACUUGUACACUCAAGCUUAAUACCCUCUCUACUCCGUACUGGUGACUCUCACUUUACCUUCUCUGUUAACAGCCUCUCUACUCUGCACCGGUGCCUCCCUCUCUACUCUGUACCGGUGCCUCUUACUUUUCCAAAUUACUCCUAACAAAGGCUUGGAAAUAACAGGAAUCAUGUUGCCAUGCAAACCAUGCAGCUUGCUUUUGAAUCAGCGAGACAGCUGGAAGGUGUGAGGUCUGAAAAUGACAUGGCACAUUUUGAAUGCGUCUCUAUUGAUUUCCAAUCAUCUGCAAUUAACCGGGCCGUGUGAGUGCGGAACUGGGAUGUAAACGGAGAAAUGCCCAUCGGAAUAUGUUUGGUUUCACAGCACGCUAAUGCUUUCCAUCCACACUCCGAUUGUCAAAAUUUUUUCCCCCUGUGAUGGUGAUGGGUAAAGGUUUUUGAAUGGUUUUCUUAGCAGCAAAUUGUCUGCAAAUUGUCAGCAAAUUGUUUUCUGUUUUUUAGAGUACCUGUAACCUGAAUAUACAGCAAUGUGAACAUGCAUGAAAUUACCCUGAAGUUACUCUCUCUCUGAAAGACUUGGCACUUACUAUCCUAGCUGACAAUGAGUCUAAUUGCAGUGUGUGGGGUUUUGUCAAUGACAGACAGAAUUGUGUGCAGGCACAGCUCGCUGACAUCAUCACAGUGCCUGGGCUAAUAGAAUAGGCUUUGAUUAAAUUGUGUUAAUGAGCAACUGGAUCUGGCUGCUGGGUAAUUGAAUUAGAACCUAGCUCAACCUCCAAUGGGACGACAGGAGCAACAGCUGCUGGGAGCUAGGAGGACGGGAGGGCAAAACAGAGGUUAUUUAUAUGUAUGGAGACAUGGAGAAUAGAAACAUAGGAUAAGGAGCGAGAACCCUAACUGGACAAAGGAGAGAACUCACCAGGCAAAGUAAUGUUGAAUACAUUUUUAUCGACGCCAUAUUUGAUAUUUUUUCAACAUACUAAAGUUUUUUGGGCUGAAUUUACAAAAAGGUCAGGCUUUAGCCCGGUUGGCUGCACUCUGGUGACACCACACAUGUUUUUUCAAGCUUCUAUCUCCCAUCCUCAGACAUACACACAGAUAAAGGUCUUAUCCCCGAUGGGCCAUGCAGCAUAUUUGAAGUGGACCGCCUUAUCAAUCCCCUCCAUCAACUAGCCUGGAUGAGAGGAGGAGAGGAGGGAGAAGACUGAGGAAGGAUGCUGUAUACAUAGGAGGGUCAGGAAAAAAAGGAGAGAAUGAAUGGUAGGAGGAGGGGAAGGAGACAGGAGGUUUAAAGGUAGGAGGAAGGAGACAUGAAAGUAGAAGGAGGAGGGGAAGGAGACAGGAAGGUGGAAGGGGACAGGAGGUUUAAAGAUAGGAGUGAAGGAGACAGGAGGGUAAAAGGAGGAGGGGAAGGAGACAGCAGGGUUAAAGGUGGAAGGAGACAUGAAGGUAGGAGGAGGAGGGGAAGGAGACAGGAAAGUGGAAGGGGACAGAAGGGUUAAAGAUAGGAGUGAAGGAGACAGGAGGGUAAAAGGAGGAGGUGAAGGAGACAGUAGGGUUAAAGGUGGAAGGAGACAUGAAGGUAGGAGACAGGAGGGUAAAAGGAGGAGGGGAAGGAGACAGUAGGGUUAAAGGUGGAAGGAGACAUGAAGGUAGGAGGAGGAGGGGAAGGAGACAGAAAGGUGGAAGGGGACAGGAGGGUUAAAGAUAGGAGUGAAGGAGACAGGAGGGUAAAAGGAGGAGGGGAAGAAGACAGCAGGGUUAAAGAUGGAAGGAGACAUGAAGGUAGAAGGAGACAGGAAGGUGGAAGGGAACAGGAGGGUUAAAGAUAGGAGUGAAGGAGACAGGAGGGUAAAAGGAGGAGGGGAAGGAGACAGCAGGGUUAAAGGUGGAAGGAGACAUGAAGGUUGACGGAGGAGGGGAAGGAGACAGGAAGGUGGAAGGGGACAGGAGGGUUAAAGAUAGGAGUGAAGGAGACAGGAGGGUAAAAGGAGGAGGGGAAGGAGACAGCAGGGUUAAAGGUGGAAGGAGACAUGAAGGUUGAAGGAGGAGGGGAAGGAGACAGCAGGGUUAAAGGUGGAAGGAGACAUGAAGGUUGACGGAGGAGGGGAAGGAGACAGGAAGGUGGAAGGGGACAGGAGGGUUAAAGAUAGGAGUGAAGGAGACAGGAGGGUAAAAGGAGGAAGGGAAGGAGACAGGAGGGUUAAAUGUAGAAGAAGGAGUGGAAGGAGACAGGAGCAGUGGCGACCCGUCAAUUAGGGCAGGUAAGAGCCCCACCUGUUUUGGGCCUCACAUUUUUGGGGGAAAAAUAAUAAUUGAAACAAAAAUAUGGCCACAGAUAAAAUGUCAUGCCCUAAUGUUUCACCUGUCCUUGUGCUAAUUGAGUCUUCGCAGGUUCCUGUGGUAUUGGGAUUCUCUUGGCUCUAGCAACACAAUCCCUAAUGCCAUCGUGGGCUGGAGCCCAUUCUGCCACACUCAUUGCCUGAAAUCAGCUCUGCCUGCCCCGGGACUUCUUCCUAGGGGCUUGAAAAUUGCCCCAGACCUCUCCGCCAUUCCCGCGGAGUACCAGGACCUCUGGGAGGGGUUCAGUAAGGCCCG